UGGGGAAUAUUGGACAAUGGGCGCAAGCCUGAUCCAGCCAUGCCGCGUGUGUGAAGAAGGCCUUCGGGUUGUAAAGCACUUUUGUUGGGGCAGAAAAGCCAUGGGCUAAUACCCUGUGGUUCUGACGGUACCCAAAGAAUAAGCACCGGCUAACUUCGUGCCAGCAGCCGCGGUAAUACGAAGGGUGCAAGCGUUACUCGGAAUUACUGGGCGUAAAGCGUGCGUAGGUGGUUUGUUAAGUCUGAUGUGAAAGCCCUGGGCUCAACCUGGGAAUGGCAUUGGAAACUGGCUGACUGGAGUGCGGUAGAGGGUAGUGGAAUUCCCGGUGUAGCAGUGAAAUGCGUAGAUAUCGGGAGGAACAUCCGUGGCGAAGGCGACUACCUGGACCAGCACUGACAUUGAGGCACGAAAGCGUGGGGAGCAAA
Molecule: ribosomal RNA, 425 nt
Filed under: uncultured bacterium
Lineage: Bacteria
Description: bacterial SSU rRNA
Rfam family: Bacterial small subunit ribosomal RNA
Source: RNAcentral